Molecule: transfer RNA, 77 nt
Filed under: Phytohabitans aurantiacus
Lineage: Bacteria; Bacillati; Actinomycetota; Actinomycetes; Micromonosporales; Micromonosporaceae
Description: Micromonospora sp. RD004123 tRNA-Pro
Rfam family: tRNA
About the family: Transfer RNA (tRNA) molecules are approximately 80 nucleotides in length.
Source: RNAcentral
CGGGACGUGGCGCAGCUUGGUAGCGCACUCGGCUGGGGGUCGAGUGGUCGUCGGUUCGAAUCCGGCCGUCCCGACCA